This 153-nucleotide ribosomal RNA is filed under the name uncultured bacterium. Its description in RNAcentral is "partial 16S ribosomal RNA". It matches the Rfam family "Bacterial small subunit ribosomal RNA", at positions 338 to 508 of the family's 1533-position model. The record is from RNAcentral.
CCUACGGGAGGCAGCAGUGGGGAAUAUUGGACAAUGGGCGAAAGCCUGAUCCAGCAAUGCCGCGUGAGUGAUGAAGGCCUUAGGGUUGUAAAGCUCUUUUACCCGGGAUGAUAAUGACAGUACCGGGAGAAUAAGCUCCGGCUAACUUCGUGC